GAUGAAGAACGCAGCGAAAUGCGAUACGUAAUGUGAAUUGCAGAAUUCAGUGAAUCAUCGAAUCUUUGAACGCAUAUUGCGCUCUCUGGUAUUCCGGAGAGCAUGCUUGUUUGAGUAUCAGUAAACACCUCAACUCCCUUUUCUUUUUUGAAAUUGGAGCUGGACUUGAGUGAUCCCAACGCUUUCUUCCAAGAAAGUGGCGGGUUGCUUGAAAUGCAGGUGCAGCUGAACUUUUCUCUGAGCUAUAAGCAUAUCUAUUUAGUCUGCCUAAAAAACAGAUUAUUACCUUUGCUGCAGCUAACAUAAAGGAGACUAGUUCUUGUGCUGACUGAUGCAGGAUUCACAGAGACAGCUUCGGCUGACUUUGUAAACUCGAUCUCAAAUCAAGUAAGACUACCCGCUGAACUUAAGCAUAUCAUUAAGCGGAGGA
RNAcentral lists this unclassified non-coding RNA (430 nucleotides) under soil metagenome. RNAcentral's name for it is "partial contains 5.8S ribosomal RNA, internal transcribed spacer 2, and large subunit ribosomal RNA". The stretch from base 1 to 120 matches the Rfam family "5.8S ribosomal RNA", at positions 35 to 154 of the family's 154-position model. The record is from RNAcentral.